AUGCAGCCGUAUUGUUUGAAUGCUUUUGGUGCUCGUUCUCAUAUCAAGCUUCAGAGUAAGUUUUAUGGACCGUUCCGAGUGAUAGCAAAGGUGGGAAAUGUGGCCUACAAACUGCUGUUGCCGGAUAACGCGGCCAUACAUCCUGUCUUUCAUGUCAGCCAACUCAAGAAACACUUCGGACCUCAGGCAAUUCCUUGUGCUGACUUGCCUUUGAUCGGGCCAGAUGGACGUGUGCGCACUGAACCGUCCUGGGUGCUUGAGACGCGCCAGAUACCUCGCAACAAUGUUGCUGUGGUUCAGUGGUUGGUAAAAUGAGAGAACCUGCCUCCGGAAGAUGCAUCCUGGGAAGAUGCAGAUUUCAUGAAAAAGGUGUUCCCGGCUUUCUUCAAGCAAACGGUGGAUCGUUGGUUCAAUCGCCAAGCUCCUUGA
Molecule: ribosomal RNA, 429 nt
Filed under: Triticum aestivum (bread wheat)
Lineage: Eukaryota; Viridiplantae; Streptophyta; Magnoliopsida; Poales; Poaceae
Description: partial small subunit ribosomal RNA
Source: RNAcentral